RNAcentral lists this ribosomal RNA (372 nucleotides) under uncultured bacterium. RNAcentral describes it as "bacterial SSU rRNA". It matches the Rfam family "Bacterial small subunit ribosomal RNA", at positions 527 to 898 of the family's 1533-position model. The record is from RNAcentral.
GAACCGUGCGAACGUUGUUCGGAAUCACUGGGCUUAAAGGGCGCGUAGGCGGCCCGGCCAGUCUCGGGUGAAAGCCCCCGGCUCAACCGGGGAAGUGCCCAAGAUACUGCCGGGCUCGAGGGAGGUAGGGGCGGAUGGAACUUCCGGUGGAGCGGUGAAAUGCGUUGAUAUCGGAAGGAACGCCGGUGGCGAAAGCGAUCCGCUGGGCCUCGACUGACGCUGAGGCGCGAAAGCCAGGGGAGCAAACGGGAUUAGAUACCCCGGUAGUCCUGGCCCUAAACGAUGGGUACUAGGUUGUGAGCUUGACAUGGGCCCACAGCCGAAGCCAAAGUGUUAAGUACCCCGCCUGGGGAGUAUGGUCGCAAGGCUGAA